Molecule: ribosomal RNA, 157 nt
Filed under: fungal endophyte sp. AP415
Lineage: Eukaryota; Fungi
Also listed under: 1 other name
Description: 5.8S ribosomal RNA
Rfam family: 5.8S ribosomal RNA
About the family: 5.8S ribosomal RNA (5.8S rRNA) is a component of the large subunit of the eukaryotic ribosome.
Source: RNAcentral
AAACUUUCAACAACGGAUCUCUUGGUUCUGGCAUCGAUGAAGAACGCAGCGAAAUGCGAUAAGUAAUGUGAAUUGCAGAAUUCAGUGAAUCAUCGAAUCUUUGAACGCACAUUGCGCCCCCUGGUAUUCCGGGGGGCAUGCCUGUGCGAGCGUCAUU